ACUCUUACGAGGCCUCGUAAUCGGAAUGAGUACACUUUAAAUAUUUUAACGAGGAACAAUUGGAGGGGCAAGUCUGGUGCCAGCAGCCGCGGUAAUUCCAGCUCCAAUAGCGUAUACUAAAAUUGUUGCGGUUAAAAAGCUCGUAGUUGCAUUUGUGCGCCGCGCUGUCGGUGCACCGCAUCCGCGGUGAUACUGACACGUCUGCGGAGCAUAUCGUCGGUGAGCCGGCGGUAAUACGCCGGUUCAAUAUCAAAAUCCUAUCGCGGUGCUCUUCGGUGAGUGUCGAGGUGGGCCGACAAUUUUACUUUGAACAAAUUAGAGUGCUCAAAGCGGGCUCAAAAUGCUGCUUGAAUAUUUCGUGCAUGGAAUAAUAGAAUAUGAUCUCGGUUCUAUUUUGUUGGUUUUCAGAACUCCGAGGUAAUGAUUAAUAGGGAUAACUGGGGGCAUUCGUAUUGCGACGUUAGAGGUGAAAUUCUUGGAUCGUCGCAAGACGAACAUCAGCGAAAGCAUUUGCCAAAGGUGUUUUCAUCAAUCAAGAACGAAAGUUAGAGGUUCGAAGGCGAUUAGAUACCGCCCUAGUUCUAACCGUAAAUAUGUCAUCUAGCGAUCCGCCGACGUUACUACAAUGGCUCGGCGGGCAGCUUCCGGGAAACCAAAGAUUUUGGGACUCCGGGGGAGUAUGGUUGCAAAGCUGAAACUUAAAGGAAUUGACGGAAGGGCACCACCAGGAGUGGAGCCUGCGGCUUAAUUUGACUCAACACGGGAAAUCUCACCAGGCCCGGACACCGGAAGGAUUGACAGAUUAACAGCUCUUUCUUGAUUCGGUGGGUGGUGGUGCAUGGCCGUUCUUAGUUGGUGGAGCGAUUGUCUGGUUAAUUCCGGUAACGAACGAGACUCUAGCCUGCUAAAUAGGCGUCGUCAUUUAGGGUGCGUGGCUACGCGUCACGCAACUCACUGGCGACGUAUUAAAAUUCUUCUUAGAGGGACCGGCGGCUUCGAGCCGCACGAGAUUGAGCAAUAACAGGUCUGUGAUGCCCUUAGAUGUCCUGGGCCGCACGCGCGCUACACUGAAGGAAUCAGCAUGUUCUCCCUGGCCUAGAGGCCCGGGCAACCCGCUGAAACUCCUUCGUGCUGGGGAUUGGGGUUUGCAAUUAUCCCCCAUAAACGAGGAAUUCCUAGUAAGCGCGAGUCAUAAGCUCGCGUUGAUUACGUCCCUGCCCUUUGUACACACCGCCCGUCGCUACUACCGAUUGAAUGAUUUAGUGAGGUCUUCGGACCGACACGCGGUGGCUUCACGGCCGUCGGCGUUGCUGGGAAGUUGACCAAACUUGAUCAUUUAGAGGAAGUAAAAGUCGUAACAAGGUUUCCGUAGGGGAACCUGCGGAAG
Molecule: ribosomal RNA, 1387 nt
Filed under: Trichoplusia ni (cabbage looper)
Lineage: Eukaryota; Metazoa; Arthropoda; Insecta; Lepidoptera; Noctuidae
Description: SSU rRNA
Rfam family: Eukaryotic small subunit ribosomal RNA
Source: RNAcentral